RNAcentral lists this ribosomal RNA (414 nucleotides) under uncultured bacterium. Its description in RNAcentral is "bacterial SSU rRNA". It matches the Rfam family "Bacterial small subunit ribosomal RNA", at positions 355 to 786 of the family's 1533-position model. The record is from RNAcentral.
UGGGGAAUAUUGCACAAUGGGGGAAACCCUGAUGCAGCGACGCCGCGUGAGCGAGGAAGUAUUUCGGUAUGUAAAGCUCUAUCAGCAGGGAAGAAAUGACGGUACCUGACUAAGAAGCCCCGGCUAACUACGUGCCAGCAGCCGCGGUAAUACGUAGGGGGCAAGCGUUAUCCGGAUUUACUGGGUGUAAAGGGAGCGUAGACGGCAUAACAAGUCUGAUGUGAAAGGCAUGGGCUCAACCCGUGGACUGCAUUGGAAACUGUCAGUCUAGAGUGUCGGAGGGGUAAGUGGAAUUCCUAGUGUAGCGGUGAAAUGCGUAGAUAUUAGGAGGAACACCAGUGGCGAAGGCGGCUUACUGGACGAUAACUGACGUUGAGGCUCGAAAGCGUGGGGAGCAAAGCAGGAUUAGAUACC